GAAUGAGACGUUCCAGAAGAAGAUGGCUUCUGGGAAAGCUUUUGUGAAAUUUUGACUGGAGGAAAAUCUGAAUUAAAUAAUCAGCAAUUCUUUCAAUUUUGAAUUUAUCCCACCAUUUGACUGAAAAUUGACGGGAAAGGACUCUAGAAUCCCAGUUGAUUUGGUAAGACCAUUUCAGGAUCCCAGGGACUUUGUAUUUAGCAAUGAGAAUAAGCAGAUUGGGAAAGAAUAACUCUGACUCUUAAAUUUGUUUUUAUUGGAGAAAU
This 266-nucleotide long non-coding RNA is filed under the name Prunus persica (peach). RNAcentral's name for it is "long non-coding RNA (PPER_LNC003198)". Lineage: Eukaryota; Viridiplantae; Streptophyta; Magnoliopsida; Rosales; Rosaceae. The record is from RNAcentral.